AAGGCUUCGGCCUGCUUAAUGGCUUCAUCAAAAGUCCGGACCUGUCGCCGCUCCAACUCCGUUCUGGCCCAAUUUUGCAGCCCAUCCAUGAAGUGGAACAACAUGUCUUCAUCCGUGAGGUUGGGAAUCUGAAAUGUAAGGGUGGUGAACUCCUGCACAUACGCGCGUAUGCUGCCCUUUUGUUUCAACUCCCUAAACUUGCGCUUUGCCUCAUAGAUGACAUUGUUGGGAUAAAAUGCCUUCUUGAAAUCCUCACGGAACUGCUCCCAUGUGUUCAAAGUGCAUAUCCCCUUUCUGACGUCGGACUCUUUACGUUUCCA
Molecule: unclassified non-coding RNA, 320 nt
Filed under: Hevea brasiliensis (rubber tree)
Lineage: Eukaryota; Viridiplantae; Streptophyta; Magnoliopsida; Malpighiales; Euphorbiaceae
Source: RNAcentral